Molecule: ribosomal RNA, 254 nt
Filed under: uncultured bacterium
Lineage: Bacteria
Description: partial 16S ribosomal RNA
Rfam family: Bacterial small subunit ribosomal RNA
Source: RNAcentral
UACGUAGGGUGCAAGCGUUAAUCGGAAUUACUGGGCGUAAAGCGUGCGCAGGCGGUUAUGCAAGACAGAUGUGAAAUCCCCGGGCUCAACCUGGGAACUGCAUUUGUGACUGCAUAGCUAGAGUACGGUAGAGGGGGAUGGAAUUCCGCGUGUAGCAGUGAAAUGCGUAGAUAUGCGGAGGAACACCGAUGGCGAAGGCAAUCCCCUGGACCUGUACUGACGCUCAUGCACGAAAGCGUGGGGAGCAAACGAGG